AUUGAACGCUGGCGGCAGGCCUAACACAUGCAAGUCGAGCGGAUGAAGGGAGCUUGCUCCUGGAUUCAGCGGCGGGCGGGUGAGUAAUGCCUAGGAAUCUGCCUGGUAGUGGGGGAUAACGUCCGGAAACGGGCGCUAAUACCGCAUACGUCCUGAGGGAGAAAGUGGGGGAUCUUCGGACCUCACGCUAUCAGAUGAGCCUAGGUCGGAUUAGCUAGUUGGUGGGGUAAAGGCCUACCAAGGCGACGAUCCGUAACUGGUCUGAGAGGAUGAUCAGUCACACUGGAACUGAGACACGGUCCAGACUCCUACGGGAGGCAGCAGUGGGGAAUAUUGGACAAUGGGCGAAAGCCUGAUCCAGCCAUGCCGCGUGUGUGAAGAAGGUCUUCGGAUUGUAAAGCACUUUAAGUUGGGAGGAAGGGCAGUAAGUUAAUACCCUGCUGUUUUGACGUUACCAACAGAAUAAGCACCGGCUAACUUCGUG
RNAcentral lists this ribosomal RNA (484 nucleotides) under uncultured bacterium. RNAcentral describes it as "partial 16S ribosomal RNA". It matches the Rfam family "Bacterial small subunit ribosomal RNA", at positions 30 to 507 of the family's 1533-position model. The record is from RNAcentral.